RNAcentral lists this ribosomal RNA (444 nucleotides) under uncultured bacterium. RNAcentral's name for it is "bacterial SSU rRNA". It matches the Rfam family "Bacterial small subunit ribosomal RNA", at positions 30 to 507 of the family's 1533-position model. The record is from RNAcentral.
AUUGAACGCUGGCGGCAUGGCUAAAACAUGCAAGUCGAACGCGAACGGGGGCAACCCCUAGUAGAGUGGCGAAAGGGCGAGGAAUAGAUUCCUACGUACCUCAAGGUCGGGGAUACCUCGGAGAAAUCCGAAUCAAUACCCGAUGUGGUCGGAAACGAUCAAAGGCUUGCUGCCUUGAGAGCGGGGAAUCUCCUAUCAGGUAGUUGGUAGGGUAACGGCCUACCAAGCCUAAGACGGGUAGCGGGUGUGAGAGCACGGCCCGCCGCAUCGAGACUGAGACACUGCUCGGACUCCUACGGGAGGCUGCAGUAACGAAUCUUCCGCAAUGCGCGAAAGCGUGACGGGGCAAUGCCGCGUGUGGGAUGAAGCCCUUCGGGGUGUAACCACUGUCAGGGUGCAGGAACUCAAUGACCAUACCCAAAGGAAGCACCGGCUAACUCUGUG